ACCUGGCUGGCUCAGUUGGAAGAGCAUGAGACUCUUGAUUUCAGGGUUGUGAGUUCGAGCCCCAUGUUGGGUG
This 73-nucleotide transfer RNA is filed under the name Felis catus (domestic cat). It matches the Rfam family "tRNA". Rfam says of the family: Transfer RNA (tRNA) molecules are approximately 80 nucleotides in length. RNAcentral also lists the same sequence under 3 other names. The record is from Rfam by way of RNAcentral. Lineage: Eukaryota; Metazoa; Chordata; Mammalia; Carnivora; Felidae.